CCUACGGGGGGCAGCAGUGAGGAAUAUUGGUCAAUGGGCGGAAGCCUGAACCAGCCAAGUCGCGUGAGGGAUGACGGCUCUAUGGAUUGUAAACUGCUUUUAUACGGGAAUAACGCGCGGUACGUGUCGGGCUUUGUAUGUACCUUAUGAAUAAGGAUCGGCUAAUUCCGUGCCAGCAGCCGAGGUAAUACGGAGGGUCCGGGCGUUAUCCGGAUUUAUUGGGUUUAAAGGGUGCGUAGGCCGCAUUUCAAGCGUGCGGUGAAAUGUCCGGGCUCAACCAUGGAAUUGCAGUGGAAACUGGGGGGCUUGAGUCCGCGUGAGGCAGGCGGAAUUCGUGGUGUAGCGGUGAAAUGCUUAGAUAUGACGAAGAACCCCGAUGGCGAAGGCAGCUUGCU
This 395-nucleotide ribosomal RNA is filed under the name uncultured bacterium. RNAcentral describes it as "partial 16S ribosomal RNA". It matches the Rfam family "Bacterial small subunit ribosomal RNA", at positions 338 to 730 of the family's 1533-position model. The record is from RNAcentral.